This 88-nucleotide transfer RNA is filed under the name Oscillospiraceae bacterium. RNAcentral describes it as "tRNA-Ser". It matches the Rfam family "tRNA". From Rfam's summary of the family: Transfer RNA (tRNA) molecules are approximately 80 nucleotides in length. Their secondary structure includes four short double-helical elements and three loops (D, anti-codon, and T loops). The record is from RNAcentral. Lineage: Bacteria; Bacillati; Bacillota; Clostridia; Eubacteriales; Oscillospiraceae.
GGAGAGAUGGCCGAGCGGUCGAAGGCACCGGUCUUGAAAACCGGCAACCCCAAAAGGUUCAGGAGUUCGAAUCUCCUUCUCUCCGCCA